This 301-nucleotide ribosomal RNA is filed under the name uncultured bacterium. RNAcentral describes it as "partial 16S ribosomal RNA". It matches the Rfam family "Bacterial small subunit ribosomal RNA", at positions 509 to 807 of the family's 1533-position model. The record is from RNAcentral.
CAGUCGCCGCGGGAAUACAGAGGGUGCAAGCGUUACUCGGAAUUACUGGGCGUAAAGCGUGCGUAGGUGGUUGUUUAAGUCUGCUGUGAAAGCCCUGGGCUCAACCUGGGAAUUGCAGUGGAUACUGGGCAACUAGAGUAAGGUAGAGGAUAGUGGAAUUUCCGGUGUAGCAGUGAAAUGCGUAGAGAUCGGAAGGAACAUCUGUGGCGAAGGCGACUAUCUGGGCCAACACUGACACUGAGGCACGAAAGCGUGGGGAGCAAACAGGAUUAGAUACCCCUGUAGUCCCUGUCUCUUAUAC